AGUCAGUUCAGGCAGACCCGAAACCGGGUGAUCUACCCAUGUCCAGGUUGAAGUUUCCGUAAAAGGAAAUGGAGGACCGAACGCACAUCCGUUGAAAAGGGUGGCGAUGAGGUGUGGGUAGGGGAGAAAUUCCAAUCGAACCCGGAGAUAGCUGGUUCUCCUCGAAAUAGCUUUAGGGCUAGCCUCGUAUUAGUUUAGCGGAGGUAGAGCACUGAAUUCUUAAGGGGGCGUCAAAGCUUACCAAGAGAUAUCAAACUCCGAAUGCCGCAUAAAUGAUGUACGGGAGUCAGACUGCACGAGAUAAGUUGGGUAGUCAAAAGGGAAAGAGCCCAGACCUACAGCUAAGGUCCCAAAGUGUGUGUUAAGUGGAAAAGGAUGUGGGAUUUCAAAGACAACUAGGAUGUUGGCUCAGAAGCAGCCACACAUUCAAAGAGUGCGUAAUAGCUCACUAGUCGAGAGGUCCUGCGCCGAAAAUGUCCGGGGCUGAAACACAACACCGAAGCUUAGGAAUUGACGUAAGUCAAUUGGUAGAGGAGCAUUCUUAACUGCGAAGAAGCGUUACCGUAAGGAGGCGUGGAGUGUUAAGAAGAGAGAAUGCCGGAAUGAGUAGCGAGAUGGAGGUGGGAAUCCUCCAGGCCGAAUAUCUAAGGUUUCCAGAGUAAAGCUGAUCUGCUCUGGGUAAGUCGGGGCCUAAGGCGAGGUCGAAAGACGUAGUCGAUGGACAACAGGUUGAAAUUCCUGUACCGCGUAUUAUCAGAACUGUGGGGACACAGAACCGAAGCCAAACCCGGGAAUGAAAAGACCGGGGCAAGCGCCGGACUGGUUAGACUGGAAAAUCCGUCUAACAACAGGAAAGCGUGACGCGUACCGAACAAAAGUAGGGAAGUUGGUAUAGGGGCUGUCAAGAAAAGCCGCUAUUGUGUAAUACGUGCCCGUACCGUAAACCGACACAGGUGGAUGAGGAGAGAAUCCUAAGGCCGGCGGGAGAAGCAUUGUUAAGGAACUCGGCAAAAUGGCUCCGUAACUUCGGGAUAAGGAGCGCCCACGAGAGUGGGCCGCAGAGAAUAGGCUCAAGCAACUGUUUAGCAAAAACACAGGUCUAUGCAAAACCGAAAGGUGAGGUAUAUGGGCUGACGCCUGCCCGGUGCUGGAAGGUUAAGAGGAGAGGUUAGAGCAAUCGAAGCUUUGAAUUUAAGCCCCAGUAAACGGCGGCCGUAACUAUAACGGUCCUAAGGUAGCGAAAUUCCUUGUCGGGUAAGUUCCGACCCGCACGAAAGGCGUAAUGAUUUGAGCGCUGUCUCGACAAUGCACCCGGUGAAAUUGAAGUACCAGUGAAGAUGCUGGUUACCUGCGCCAGGACGGAAAGACCCCAUGGAGCUUUACUCCAGCUUGAUACUGGGAUUCGGUGUCGCAUGUACAGGAUAGGUGGGAGGCAGUGAAGGUAGGACGCCAGUCUUACCGGAGCCAUUGUUGGGAUACCACCCUUGCGAUAUUGGGUUUCUAACCUGCGGCCAUGACCUGGCCGGGGGACAAUGUCAGGUGGGGAGUUUGACUGGGGCGGUCGCCUCCGAAAGUGUAUCGGAGGCGCUCAAAGGUUCCCUCAGAAUGGUUGGAAACCAUUCGAAGAGUGCAAAGGCAUAAGGGAGCUUGACUGCGAGACUGACGGGUCGAGCAGGUACGAAAGUAGGACUUAGUGAUCCGGUGGUAUAAAGUGGGAUUGCCAUCGCUCAACGGAUAAAAGCUACCCUGGGGAUAACAGGCUUAUCACUCCCAAGAGUUCACAUCGACGGAGUGGUUUGGCACCUCGAUGUCGGCUCAUCGCAUCCUGGGGCUGAAGUAGGUCCCAAGGGUUGGGCUGUUCGCCCAUUAAAGCGGUACGCGAGCUGGGUUCAGAACGUCGUGAGACAGUUCGGUCCCUAUCCGGCGUGGGCGUAGGAUAUUUGAGAGGAGCUGUCCUUAGUACGAGAGGACCGGGAUGGACUGACCUCUGGUGUACCGGUUGGGUAUCAAACCCAUGGCCGGGUAGCCAAGUCGGGAAGGGAUAAACGCUGAAGGCAUCUAAGCGUGAAGCCCCCCUCAAGAUGAGAUAUCCCAUCGCAAGAGUAAGACCCCUUGAAGACGACGAGGUAGAUAGGGCAGAGGUGGAAGCAUGGCAACAU
RNAcentral lists this ribosomal RNA (2159 nucleotides) under Hungatella hathewayi VE202-04. RNAcentral describes it as "bacterial LSU rRNA". It matches the Rfam family "Bacterial large subunit ribosomal RNA", at positions 698 to 2884 of the family's 2925-position model. Lineage: Bacteria; Bacillati; Bacillota; Clostridia; Lachnospirales; Lachnospiraceae. The record is from RNAcentral.